AUGGCGGCGUCUCGGACGUCGUUCCCUUCUCGAGGCAUCGUCGUUGCAGGUCACGUCAACCUGAUCGAAAGGCUCCGGGGGAAACCCUUGAUCUGGAUCUACCGGAUCGGACGAUGGCGACGUUUCGAUGUCGUUCUCCCUCCUGAGGGCAUCGUUUUGGAGCAAGUGUUGGCUGGAGGGGACAAGAGGAGGAGCGGCGUGGCAUCUGGCACGUUGACAACGGCGGGUCUCAGCGGCAUGGAGCAGCGGGGGUCUCGCCGGUGGGCGUGUGAUGAUGGACGAGUGCAGGAUGGUGGCGCUGUCUGGCGUCGUGGUGGCGUCGAUGGCAGUGAGGCCUGGCACGGUUCAUGCAACAGUUCAGCUCUGAAGAUGGAUUGA
Molecule: ribosomal RNA, 378 nt
Filed under: Triticum aestivum (bread wheat)
Lineage: Eukaryota; Viridiplantae; Streptophyta; Magnoliopsida; Poales; Poaceae
Description: partial small subunit ribosomal RNA
Source: RNAcentral